CGUGAUGUGAAAGCAGCAAACAUAUUGUUGGAUGAGGAAUUCAAAGCAGUUGUUGGAGACUUUGGGUUGGCUAAACUCAUGGACUACAGGGAUACACAUGUUACCACAGCUGUACGUGGCACAAUUGGUCAUAUAGCACCAGAGUACCUUUCAACUGGAAAAUGUUCCGAGAAAACUGAUGUUUUUGCAUACGGAGUCAUGCUUCUUGAACUCAUCACUGGGCAGAGGGCUUUUGAACUUGCUCGGCUUGCGACCAAUGAUGAUGUCAUGUUACUUGAUUGGGUAUGCUUAUACGUGUUUCUGUUUCUGUUUGUUGCUAAUUUUCUGUUUUCCUUAAUAUGUUUCAUAUUUUAUUAAAAAAAAAAGACAUAAUGUUGUUGAAAUUCAACGAUCUAUUGUGUCUCUUUGUCCAAAUCUUGGAAAUUAUGUUUCAAUACUCAUUUUUAAAGAAAUGUUAUAUAAUAUAGUGUGAAUUAGGUGUAUCUCUCGAUACCAAUGUUGCUAUUUAUUUAAGCCAAAAAUAAUGGGUCUCGACACCUAAUCACUUUAUUUCAAACCGCUAAUCUCAUAUGACAUUCUUAAUCAUUGUAUAUGGAACAUUUAAAAACCUAUUACUCAUCAUAGAGCUGCCAAGUUCCUCUCUAAUUAAUGUAAAAAUCACUUAGUCUUUUUUGGCCCGAAUAUUGAAAACAAUUAGAAUCAUGGAUCAAAGAAAAGAACUAAUACUUAACUUUUAGAAAAUAAUUUUAGUUUAAUUACCUUUUAUUAGUUAGACUUACGAUUAAACUGUGAAGAUUUAUUUAUCUUUAUUUAUAACAAUCUAAGAUUUAAAUUGUCAGAGAUUAAUUAUUACAUUUCCUUGGUAAUUGUUGUUAGUAUUGUUGUUGCUUCUUUUGCCAAUGUAUUGGCCUUGCGGUGAUUUCUUGAAGAUUUUGGCAUGUGUUUUGUAUCGAUCCUAAUUUCUUCAUUAUCUCUUUAUUCUCGCUAUCUUGGCCUCUUUCUUCUUUCUAUUCUCUGUUUGCAUCCUUGUCAUAUGUUUGCAUCAUAUCAAUAUUUGAAUGACGAUGCAUUUUUGUAAGCAGUUUGAUUUUAUGGAGAUACUGCAGCCCUUCAAAUUUUGAACAUUACAACACAUUUUCACUCUCCUAGGUGCCCUCACCUUUUGUUUCAAAUUGUAGAACUAUCUGAUUUUUUUCCUUUUUAUUUUAACUAAAAUAAUUAGGUCAAAGGACUACUGAAGGAUCAGAGGUUGGAAACAAUUGUUGAUGCUGAUCUACAUGGAAAUUAUGUUGACGAUCAAGUGGAGCAGCUCAUCCAAGUAGCUCUGCUGUGCACACAAGGCACCCCAGGGGAACGACCCAAGAUGUCAGAGGUUGGCCGGAUGCUGAAAGGUGAUGGUUUGGCUGAAAGAUGGGAGGAGUGGCAAAAAAAGGAGGUGUUCCGCCAAUAUUUCAACCCUAUUCAUCAUCCAAGUACUAAUCGGAUCAUAGACUCAACUUCUCAUGGUCCUCUAGAUGAGUUGUCCGGUCCUAGAUGAUAUGCUCGUUGGUUCCGUCCCCUUGUAUACAUGUAAGAAGCCUCAGAGGACUAGAGAAGGUCCAUUUUGUAUUUCAGUGAUACCACAUUUGUGCGAAUGUUUUGUCUUUGUUUUCGAUUUUGUUUUUGUGUCGCUUAUUUUUAAGAUCACAAAAAUGGAGCUGGUGCUGUUGUAAUUUUUAUAGGGUUAACUGGCAUUACGAAGUUAUAUUGUGCUAGCAGGAAUCAGGAAGGUCCAUAAAAGCACCCAUUCCUAAUGAUUUAUGUAUCUUUCCAACAAUUAGUCCAGAUUGUCGAGUAAAUAAUCUUUCUGAACUUAUAACUAUCUAUAUUUUUUAGUGUUCUUAUAGAUCCUAUAGAUACAUCCUAUAGAUACGAUAAGGGCAUUAGGUCAAGUGCAUGGGUGCUUGUGGACGGAUAGUGUUUGAAAUUUCAUUGUGAUCAUUGCAAGUGCAACUUUGUGGCGCUACCCUUAUAAGCACUUGAACUAAGGCAUUAGGGGAUCUAGAGAUCACUUUGUGUCACUCCAACAUGGGAAUUCGAGUUGUCUAUCCUCUUUAGAGAAUCGCCAAUGGAGACCCAAACCUAAAUAUUUGGGUUUAAACAAAAUAAAAAUGGAAUCUAACGGUGGGACUUUUUUUGUUUUUUUGAACAAAAAAUAUUAUCUACAUUAAAGGGGUAGGGGAUUAUGUUAAUCCUUAUAGUGAACAAAAAAUUACUAUUUAAUAUUUUAUAUAUUUAUUCAAAAUUUUAUAUUAUUAUAUCACUAUUUUAAUAUUUUCUUUGUGAUAUAUUUUUAUUUUUUUAUUAAUAUUUUCGGCCUGUGGGGUCCACAAUCACCCAGGCUCUUCUCUCAUUUUCUGCCAUGUGUUUUGUCUCCUCCCUCACUCCACCUCUCCCUCUCUCCCAUAAGACUCAUUUCCUCUCUCCUUCGGUGAAACCCAAUGACGCCGAAACCACCACCACCUUGCCGAUGCGACUCCAGCGGGUUACUCCACUUGAUGACCCAGGCUAGCACCACCUUCGUCAUUUUCUCCCCCUAUGUCGAACCAGCACCACUCACUUUCUUCCCCGAGGCCAUUGUUCACAUUUUUCUUUUUCGACAACAUUCAUGGCGAGUUCUCGUCGUUCAUGACAAAGGUAAGGUUCGAAAACCCUCAACAUCUUCGUAGAUUGUGUUUAUGAGUAUGACGAGGAUGUUCUUAAGAUGUUUUAGUGCUGGUUUGACGUAGAAAUACCCCAAGAGUAACAAACCCAGUGUUCCGGCAGAGAUCUGGCGGCUUUCGAGCCAUUUUUUGGCCAACUCCGGCCAAGACCAAGGAAACCAAAGGUAUAUUCCAAUUCCUUGAUCCGAAUCUGAACUCGGGAUCCGGCCCGAUCUGUUCUAAAUUGUAUAUGAAAUAUUCCAGAAUAUUCCCUGUGUUGACUUUUAAGAAAUUUUCUCAGAAACCCUCAUAGGCUAAUUUUGACGUCCCAAGUCCAUUUUUGACAUCUAUUUAGGAAAAUCAUGAAGUUUUAACAUAGUUGACCACCAAGGCGUCUCGUUGACAUUUUAGGGUUGACCGUUCACAUUUCGUUGACUUUUUACAAAAUUUGCAUUUAACCCCUCUUAGCGUAUUUCGACACUCUGAUUCUAAAUUCGCACUCCGUUUUCUCAAAUUUGAUCGUUUAAGUUGAGUUUUACUAAUGAGUCCUAAUAUUAUACUUUGGUGCGAUUACUAUCGGAGACUCCGACUUUCUUAGCUUGAAAGGAUGUGACAUCGCAGGUACUUGUGAGUGGGUCUUUUCUUUUAUAUAGUGUGUAUAUAUAUAUAUAUAUAUAUAUAUAUAUUUGUUAGUUUCCAUUUAUAUAUUUGGUAAAGAAUUUUCUAAGUUACACCUAUAUUAGGGUAACGUAUAUAAAAAUUAACGUAUUGACAGAAUUCAUGUAAUUAUACUACGUUCUAUGGGAUACACAGGUAUGCGUAUUAGUAUGGAUGCUUUAAUGGUAUUUACGGUUAUGAAUAAUAUUCCAUUGACUAGGGUUAUUGAAUUAUCGCAUUAUCAAUUUACCAUUGCAUGAUCAUAUUUGUGUUAUUUACUCAUCGUGUGCUGCACUGGUGUUAGUACUUGCCCAGGCCAGGGCCAAUCUUUCACGUGUAUGUUCACAUCGCACUGUACGCUUAGUUUGGAUCCAUUGUAGGUGUAAUCCUAUCCUAGAUUGCGAUAGGCAAUUAGGACUCAUAUGUGAGGCACUUAGCGCUAGCCUUCACGUGAUUGUAGUACUAGAGCGUAAAUCAUUGCUUACACCCAGUCAUGUUCAUGUCAGAAUACCUCUGCAUGAACUCGUGUAUCAGCAUAUGUCAAUGAGCACUCGAUGUGAUAUGUUUAUUUCUGCGAGAUAUUGUGAUUACUAUAAGUUAUGUACCUAUUUAUGAAUUUUGUGACGUAUUGAAUUCUUAAGAUUUUGCAGGCUACAGUAAGUAUUUUCAUACUAUACGUAGUAUGUAAAUUUUGGAAACUAUACUUGUUUUACGAUAAGGGGUUAUAAUGUUUUCAAAAAGCUUUUUAUAAAACUUUAUUUUAGGCCCACUCACCCUUGUUUUUCUCCCCUCUAAGAUUUAGUGGCAAUGUUCGUGUCGACAAGGAUUUCUAGCAAACGCUGAUAUCAGAGACUACUUCUGAUGGUAUAAUUCUCAAUCUACUCUAUUGUACUUUACUUAUACUCUGACAUCACAUGUGAACUAGGUUGAUUCCCGCUCACUAACGCACUCUUAUACUUAGGCACUUUUAGAUUUAAAUUUAUUUCCAUUUUCCAAAUCACUAUAUUUUAUGGCUUCGUCACUCUCCUGGUGUCGACCAGCACACCUCGAUUCGGAGCCUAAGUAGGCAUUCCGGGUCAGGGUGUGUCAGUUUGGUAUCAGAGCAUAAGUUUGGUCAGCAUUGCGUUCAUCACACGCGUGCUGUAAGCAUUCUUGGUUCUUGAACCUAAUUGUCGAAUCUUGUCACCUCGUCGAAUACAAAAAAUGUGUUAGCUUUUCUUGAGUUAUGGGUUACUUAGACGACUUAUUGACAUGUUAGAAGAAUACUUUGGCGACCACCUCUAAACUUUAAGCGAAGGAUUUUCCUGCCAAGGAAAUAUGUAGAUUUGAGACAAGUUGAUGGCCCUGAAGCAGGGCUACUAUAUCGAUAGUUGUGCAUCACGAGAGAUUUACCAACCAAAUCCACUACCAUCUGGUCAUUUCUACCAACCCUUUUAAGUUAGAAAACCAUAAACAGUUUUGAUUCCUUGGCAUUACCCGUUAGUAUACCACAUAUCAGAAUUCCUGUGAAGUUUUAGUUUUUGUCAAAAUUUCCAAAAAUGUCCCGAAUGACAAUGUGGUGCUAAAAGGGUAGCAUUCGACAGAAGAACAUCUAGGGGAUAAUCACUUUUGUUCCCUGAUAACACUAAUCUUCUUAAGCGCACUGGUUAUCAUUUCGGAUCCUCAGGAGGAAGAUCGAUUUCCAUUUAGGUUAUUAACAAAUUUCUUUUCCGGUGUGGACCCCACCAUUGACAUUUGGUCAACAGGUCUUGAACCAUUUGAAUUACUAAAAUUAGUAUUACUAGAGACUCAGUGAAGCUUUGCUGACUUGUCUCGGUGAGUGACUUUAAUAUAUGUGAUAUGGUGAUUACCCGAUUCUUUAUAUUACUAUCCUUUGUGGAUAUGACAUGGUUUUAUAAAUGUGUUUUCUGUUAAAAUGUGAUUCUUUUAUAAUUGGCCAUCGAUCUAUUUUUAUUAAAUGUGAUUUGAUUCAUGGAUUGGUAAUAUUUGUGAAAAAGUGAUUCGAAUUGCAUAUUGAAAUGUUUUGUAAAUUGAGGGCUAGUAGAGGACUAUGACCCUGCUUGGUUAAUCCGCAUUGGGGGGUCAUUAGUGGUCCUGCUUGGUUAAUCCGCAUUGAGGGACCAUACUAUAUAUGGAUCGUGCUUGGUUAAUCUGCGUUGGGCGAUCCUUAUGGCCAUUUAUACUUAGGGGUGAUCAUGCUUGAUUAAUCCGCUUGGUUAAUUCGCAUUGGGGGGGGGGUGAUGAGUUCAUAUUAUACUAUAUAUUUCACCCUAUUCUUAGUAUUAAUUUAUUGAUUAUUUUGGUAGAAUUUUGAUACUUUGUUUUAUAUUUUCAACAUAGGAUAUUCAAUUUCCUCUGGAACAAAACUUGACCAAAUGGACGAAAUUUCGAGUGAUUCAAAUUGGAGGACGUUCGUGUGUUGUUUGUGUCAAAAUAUCAGAAAUUUCUACCAAGCGGUUAUUUUCUGGAGAUUAAAUGAAGGAGCAGUGCGCAUUGCUGGAAAGUGACAUUUCUGGGCUUAAACUACAUUUUUGGAGCCCGAGAUGACUUCGGCUGGAGAAGUGUUCAGAAUAGUCCAAACUUUAGAUCCAGCUAUUUUGGGCCAGUUUAGGAUUAUAUUUCCUAUUUUAUUUCUAUUUAUUACGUUUCCUGGUUUUAUUCUAAGACCUUUUAGGGUUUUAUUUUGUAUUAGUAUAAAUAAGGCUUUUUAGCCAUUAGGUUAAGAAAUAGGGGAGAGAACGCACACAUUUUGGCUUUAGAGAGCUUUUGACGAAUCAAGUGUAUUUUCAAGGUGUUUUCUAUCCAUGUUUUUAAUAAUAUUUUAUUUUAUGAUUGUUUGUAAUUAGUUUUGUUUGCUAGGGUGAGGCCACGAGCCUUAGCAAAAAUAUGUAUUUUUUUUUUCAAUUUGCUUAUAAUAUUAUGCAUGCAAGUUUUGAAUUAUUAACCACUGUGCUUUAAACUAUCUAGUUGUCUUGAUGAUUGGCCACCAUUAGGAUAUUUAGAAAAGUAAUUUGAUGCAAUUUUGGUGGAGGGCUGUCCCUGGAAUUGGCGUUGGCUUCUUGUGGUUAAUAUGUGUAACCUCUUAGGAUGGACGACAUGUUUUAAGGGUUAUAUGGUUUUUCAAAAGGUUUUCACAAAACUUAAUGAGUCUUGCAUGUUCACAUUCGAUCUGGACGCCACAGACGGGUUUCAAGUAGGGCAUACUUUAGGAAAACCUAACCUUCAAAAUAUGCAUGGGUAAUUCAUAAGUAAUUGAAAGAACUACGUAGAAUUGUUAAGGUGACAACGGAACCCUAGUGCUCAAAUUUAUUUUCAAAACUAUUUUCUUUUGUUUUUUUUUAUUACUUUGCCAAUUUAUUUAAUUUUUUUUAAUAAAAUUCAUUUUUAAUAUUUUAGGUCAUAAAAUCAACCUCUUCUAAAUUUUGUUUUCAAAUCAUUAAUUAAGAUUUGGUUUUAACAUAAAUUAUUCAUUCAAUCCCUGUGGAGAUCGACCUUACUUGAGCUGCUAUACUAUGACAACCUUGUACUCUUGCAAGUAUUUUUAAAUGUUUUUAUCUCUAAUUUUGCAGGUGGUAAAAAUCCCUACCAGAGGGUCACUAGUGGUCUUGCUUGGUUAAUCCACAUUAGGGGACCAUACUAUAUGUAAAUCGUGCUUGGUUAAUCCACGUUAGGCGAUCCUUAUGGCCAUGUAUGCUUAGGAGUGAUCAUGCUUGGUUAAUCCGCAUUGGAUGAUCACUUCCUAACAGCUGUAGGAGUGACUCUGCUUGGUUAAUCCGCUUUGGGGGGGUCACUGCCUACUUGGUUACUUUCUCAUGGGUGGCUUUGCUUGGUUAAUCUGUUUUGGGAGGCCACUUCGUGUUUGGUUACUUAUGUAGGCUUCUGCCGAACUGCGUCCCUCUAGCCCUAGUUUUUAAUGUACAUAUGAACGAUGGUUUUUGAGAAUCUUGGUGGUUUGAAUGGGAAAAGCCAUUGGAUGUUUGGGUGACUCAUUCGGAGUUGUUAGAGACUUGACUAUGUUUUCAUAUUUACAAACUUAUAUUUGAGGUUUAUAAACUGUGAUUGAUGGUCUUUCUUUUUAUUGAUUAUCACAUACUUGUAUUAUUGUCACUCACCCGAUUUUACAUAUGACAGGCCUGGGUAGAUUAUGAGAAACCGCUUGAUAUUUUGGUUUCAUUGAGUAAUCCGGAACCCGGUGUCGUUGGAUUCCGUUGAGUGAUUCGAAAUCCUUGUUCUCGCUCAUUCCCAUAAGGUUAGUCUAGAACCCUAGAUUUGAGUGAAUGAAAAUUACCCACAAUAGACCUUGUGAAUAUGAAAUAGAUUUACCAUGUUAUUACUGAUAAUCCAAGUAGAAAAUUAUAUAGAGUUCCUUGGUUAAAUUUGUGAAAUGAUAUGUUAUUGCAUUCAUUGAUUAGCAUAUUUAAAUGCUAAGAUCAUGUAUCUUUGAUUCAUGAAUUGAUUGAUUGACGGAAUUGUGGAAUGACUUGGUUAUGGUUGUUAUUAUUUUGAUUAUUUUAGUUGAUCAAUGUGGCUUGAGAAUAAUAUGUGCUUCGUUGGUUAUUUGAUAUGUUACAUGUUGUGGAUGGAAGUAUCGUGCUGAAAACAUAGAAUUUAUAUGAUGGAUGGAAUGAGAAUCUUGAACGGCAUGUUGGUUUGUUUUGUAGCCAUGAACUUGGUAAUGUCAUGCAUGUCAAGUUCUAAUAAUUGAUUACAGAAUGCUAUGUAUUCCUAUUAGAACGCACUGGAAUAAAUGUCUAAAUUAGUGAACGAUGAACUACGAACGGCUUGAUCCCUAAUGAGGGUACGUAGGCAAUCUAACGAGGAGGUUAGAUGCAGCCAUAAAGUAUACGAAAAAUUACUAUGCGAUUCAAUUCUCAAGUUGUGAUUUGCCAUAUCCCGGAGGCGGGGUAUGUUGAGAUACGGGUAUUUGGUGACGUCACAUGUCGAUCCUGAACAUAUGUUGGGAUCGGGGCGUGACAUUUUUGAUCACUUCCAUAGGUAGACAGUAGAAUCAAAGUACGAGUUAAUUUCUUGCUAUUAAAGUGAAUUGAGUAUCGAGAAAACUAUGAAGACCUUUUAGUUCAUGUCGUAGAGUUGGGAAGUAGUAUUGUACGUUUUGAUGACGUAUAUCCAAGUGUCUAUUUCAAAAAUUUACCUGAGAUAUCACCAAAUUGUGAAGUAAGAUACACUAUCAACCUAUUUUCUAAUACGACACCUAUUAUCCUUGCAUCUUAUCGAACGACUCCUUUGACUUGAGAAACUUAGUUACAAAAGCUUAUCGAUUAGGAAUUCACCCAACCAAACACUUUAUCUAGGGAACCCUAAACCUAUCCAAGAAGACAAUAGGUUGAACCUUAAAACUGUAUCUAGAUUUUAGCAACUCUAUCGAGUGACAUUUAACUCCGUUAUACCAUACUUUGAAUUUAUGGUCUAUCCAACCAACCUCUGAGCCCAAGUUUUCUUCCGUAGCUUGUCAAAUUCGUAGUGGUUUUACCGAUGACUUUCUCACCUACCGUAGCAACGGGAGCAAAUUUUCUAAACACUGACAGUCAGCUUUAUACCAAAUUCCUCAAAUAUUACCUUUGUUUUAGAUUUCUUGGGAGACGUGAUCUCAACAGAGACGUUCUUGUCAAUUUCCAAAAAGGUUGCACAUGAAGAAGAUUUCAUAUUCCACAAAUCGUUGUGAAUAAUGCGAUAUCCUUGGCCUUGUUGGUUAUAUCGACAUUUCGUUAGUAACUUUUCAGCAGUGGUGUUUUUCCUUGCAAGUUGACCGAGGAAAAUCAGUUUAACUGAGAUGUGGAAUAUGAUUACAGUUGUGACAACUGAGGUGUUGUCUAUUUCUUACCCUUGUUCGUACACCUUUCGAUAACAUUGAAUGAUUUGGCUGCAUACUGAUAGAAUAUGACGAAGUAUUGCUUAUGUUUCCCAACGGUUGAAACCAUAUAAAGUGAACUAACUUACUAUUGACCUAGAGUCAACAAUUACCAUCUUUCCUUGAAACUGGAUGACACUUCUCUAUGGAGAAUCUUGUCCAAAAUCUGUACCAACCUUAGACUUCUCAAAUACAUCUUCAUUUGUAAUGAGCUAAAUUUCUGACAGUAGUGAUGGACGAACUAAAUCAACGUUUACGAUUACACUAUCGUGUAUUACCCUGGUUGUGUAAACGUAAUUACUGUUCACCGUAGUAAAAGAUGUAUCUACCCUUGAACAUUUUCAACCUGUCCUAUUCCAACUCAUUUGGAAUUCAUGAGUAUUGUUAUGACGUGACUUACGAAUCCUCAAGAAAUCGUUCGAGUGGUUAUAAUCACUUACUGUAUUUGAAUAGAGAUGAGAAAUAUCACCAUAAGUUCCUAGUACGAGGUAUUUUGUACAUGUGGAUAUUAUGAUAAUGUUUCGAUGAUUAUCUAUCAACUUGACAAGUCAGCUCACCUUCUGUUGGUCGAGAAGAACUACAUUUUAGACCACUUAUCAAAAUUUCUCAUUCUUGAACUUAUUAGACUUUUUGACGUUUUGAUCAGCAUCUAAUCUAACUGUGAUUCCCUAUUCACCAUCUUGGGCUGGAAAGCAUUCCAAUCAACCUUAGGUACGUCUUACCCUACAACACUUUGUAUUAUUUCUUAAGCAAAUAGAUUGUUUAGAUGAACCGCUGACAUUGAAGUUUUAGUUAUGACCAUUAACUCCUCAAUCACCUAACAAAUACUUUACUGAACGAAUCUUUACCAUUAGUGAUUGAAUAUUCUGAAAGCUACCGUUGUAGUGAGAUAUUAUGCAUUCAAUCCAGCCAUCUUGUACUCUAGAUUCGAUGAACUUGUUUUGACCCUCAAAUUCUUGAGUGUUCAUUUAGCCUUUUCGGCGUAAUGUUUCACUAAACCCGAGUGGAAAUUCAUAAUGAAUCUACUUGCUGAGGCAUAUGUGAAUUACAGUGUUUGGUUGCAUAGUGUGCAUGACACUACUGUAUCUUAUUAUGAUGCGCAUUUCGCUUCCAAGUUUUGGGAAGCCUUCUUGAAGGCCAUGCGUAUUAAGUUUUGUCACAUACCACAUUUCACCCUCAGACUAACGGUCAGUCUGAAUGAACUAUUCAGACCUUAGAUAACAUAUUUCUUUUGUAUGUUUUAUAGUUUUAACUGGUUAUGUUAGACACCUAUCUUUGCUUAUGUUGCGUACGACGAUAGUUAUUAUUAUGGUUUGGCUAUAGUAUUGUUUAAGCUGUGAUAUAGAGAUUUUACGCACGGAACAUGUUUGACAGACGAGUAUUGCGAACAAGUAUUCGAAUGAUCAGGAUUAAGAUGUAGCAAACUAUGAGAUAUUGACGAUGUCGCCGAAGAGGGUCAUGCGUGAAUGCAAUCAAGGCGUUAAUCAGAUGAUUUAUGUGUAUUUCCCAAUGAGGGGCAAGAUGGUAAUAUUGCACCCUCAUGAAUUAUUUGCUUGGUUAUUGUGACAACACCGUAAUAUUGAUAACUUAUUUAUUGUUUGGACUUGACCCAAAGAUACUACACUUAUUCUCGGAUUACGUGACGCUACAAGUGCAUAGGUGACAUUUUUCUAUGUUCAGUUUUGAUUUCAGUACAACUAUCUUGAUUCUACGUUAUUGUGUAUAUGUAUUUUAAUUUGACGUUAUGUUUAUAUAUAUAUUACCUUAUGUUUUUAUAAAAUAUAAUAUUAUAGUAUUGUGCUGAAGGAGAAGGAAAGUAUGAGUUUGGAGCCAUAAAAUAGGAAUCAUUGCACACCUAUCGCGACAGAAUGACAUUCUCUUUUAUGCAACCGCUCUAGCUUGAAUUCUUCUUUAUAUAUUUUCCUUCUGUCUUGAGUAUUUUAUGUUUAGCAACUUAUUUCAAAUUUUGGGGACAAAAUUUUUUUUAAGGGGUGUAUAUUGUGACAACUCGUCCCUACUUUUAUGAUUUUAUUAAUUUUAAAAGCGUGAAUUGGCAAAAAUGCUCUAGCUUGAAUUCUUCUUUAUAUAUUUUCCUUAUGUCUUGAGUAUUUUAUUUUUAGCAACUUAUUUCAAAUUUUGGGGACAAAAUUUUUUUUUAAGGUGGGUAGAUUGUGACAACCCGUCCCUACUUUUAUGAUUUAAUUAAUUUUAAAAGCGUAAAUUGACGAAAAUGCCCAAGAGGCGAGAUUAUUGACUUUCGUUGAUCGUUGUUUGUGACACGUAUGAGUUAUUACUUUACCGUACCCUUGAAGUACUCGAUGGUAAAAACGCAUAGGCGCAAGCGGAAUCGAAUUUGGAGCAACGAUGAAAAUUUUAUUGAACAAUGAAUCCGAAAAAUACUUUUGUAAAAAUUACUAUUUUAUAUUUUAUAUAUUUAUUCAAAAUUUUAUAUUAUUAUAUCACUAUUUUAAUAUAUUUCUAUGGGAUAUUUUUUAUUAUUUUAUUAAUAUUUUCGGCCCAUGGGGCCCACACUCACCCAAGCUCUCAUCUCAUUUUCUGCCAUGUGUUUUGUCUCCUCCUUCUGUCCUGUAAGACUCCCCUUUUUCUCUCCCUUGGUGAAACCUAGUGACACUGGAACCACCACCACCACCACCACCUUGCCGUUGCGACUCCGGCGAGUUACUCCACUCGAUGACCCAGGUUGGCACCACCUUCGUCGUUUUCUCCCCCCUCCAUGUCGAACGAGCACCACUCAUUUUCUUCCCCAAGGCCACUGUUCACGUUUUUCUUUUCUGACGACAUUCAUAGCAAGUUCUCGCUGUUCAUGACGAAGGUAAGGUUCGAAAACCCUCAAUAUCUUUGAACACCCUCAAUAUCUUCGUAAAUCCCGUCCCUGAUUUUCACUAUUGCAAAUUACGUAUGUGUAUUAAGGAGUUAUUAUAUUAUUUUUGGAAUUUAUAUUAAUUGUAGAGUGUUGAGAUUGUGUAUUCAAAAGAUAUCAAUGUGAAAAAGCUACAAUUAAAAAGUUGCCCUUAAUUAAUUAAGGAGAGGAAAAAAAAGGGAACUUUAACGAAAAGCUCCCGGUACUGUUCAUUUUAACGAAAAACCACAUUUUUACACUAAAAAGUCAAUCCUGGUACUAUUCACUUUACCCUUUAUUUUGUCCUUAUCGUUAAAACUCAAAGUUUUCAAGCCCUUUUCAUUAGUUUUCCUAAAAAAAAAAGAAAAGGAAUUUGGGGAGAGAAAUGAAGGAGGCUUGGCCAACGGGAAGGCGGGAGAGAAAGAAGGCUGCCAAUGAGAAAAAAGGAAAGGAGGAGGAAAGAGGGGAGGGGAGGGACACCAGAUUCCCUGCCCAAUUGUCUUUUCCGACCUGAACGCGUCAUUGCUACCACUUCCGACGGGUUUUCCGUCCAUUUUUUGGCGAUCCACCAUUUUUGAAAUAAUGUUCUUCAAUUACCACCACAAAGACACUCAUCUAGAGGUCAGGAAAAAAGCCCAAGCAAGAUUGGGGGUGUUGGAGUUCGAAUUGAGGACGAAUCAAAUGACACCCAUUUCAAGGGUUCCGGCGGAUCGAGGCAAAAUUGAAGGGUUCCCCGGCAAAAUUGGACCUCGGCCCAGGUAUGAAAAUUUCUCCCCGCACUGAUAUCUACAUGCCUGUAAAGUUUGGUAAUUUUUGGAAAUAGUUGAAUUUUCGGCAAGUCGGGGCUGCCGACCGCCACCCGCGGCGGCGGCCUGCCCAGUGGGCCGACGAUGUCCUUUUAAGUUCAAAUAGAUGCCUUGAUUUCAUAAUUGAUAUCCGUAUGACGUAAUUUGAUUGUUUGGACUUAGUUUCAUUACGAUACCUCAUGUUGAUGCACAAAACCGGAGGUUUUGGGACAAUAUAAAUCCGAUCGUGAAUCUGCAAGUAAUGUAAGUAACACAAGAUGUAUCGUGGUUCACCCCAAUGUUUGGGCUACGUCCACACUGAUUAUUGAAUUUCUUUAAGAUGCUGAAGAGGGAGAAAGAGAGUUUCUCUGUGAGGAUGAGAGCUCUGAGAGGGUGAAGGUACGGCCUAAGAAAUGGCCUCCCUUCAUGAAGAGAGUGAGGGGUCCUUUUAUAGAAUAAGGGCUCCUCACUUAUUACAUAUUUGCCCUUUAUUUAUUACAUAAUUACAUUUGAGUCCCCCGAGUAUUUAUACGAGAUCUAAAAACGGAGGCCCUAAGUAUGGUAUAAACAGUAAUCCCCCAAGUCUUCAGUCAAGAUAGUCUUUUGGCUGGAGACUUGAAAUUCAGUCCAUGUGUGGACCAAAGUAACUAGACAUCGUCUAGGACUGAUACUCGAUAUGAGGCGGUGCUCAAUCUGAAAUGAUGCUCAACUAGAAGUAGCACAUGUUGCGAGGCUGCUUGGCUUGUGGCUUAUGUUGUCUUGGUUGGCUUGGCUUGUGGCAUUGAAGGUAAGGGAGUCCCUUUUAUAGAAUAAGGGCUCGCUCCUCAAUACAUGAAUGAUAGGCUAGAGUUGAUGCUCGCGGCGAGGGCAUUGCUCAGCUGGCGACGAUGCUCUCUAAUGAUGGUGAGGGAGUCUCUUUUAUAGAAUAAGGGCUCGCUCCUCAAUACAUAAGUGAUGAGUUAGGAGUGAUGUUCCCGGCGAGGCGAUUGCUCAGCUGGCGGCGAUGCUCUCUAAUAAAGGUGAGGGAGUCCCUUUUAUAAAAUAAGGGUUCGCUCCUCAGUACAUGAAUAAUGGGUGCUUUCUAAUGAAAGUGAGGGAGUCCCUUUUAUAGAAUAAGGGCUCGCUCAUCAGUACAUAAAUAAUGGGCUAAGUCCCCCAAGUAUUUUUCAUGAGGCCCAGUUGAGGCCCAAUAAAUGGUACAUAAUGUAGUCCCCCAAGUCUUCGGUCAAUAGAGUCUGUUGGUUGGACACUUCAAAUUGAAUCCAAGUAUGGGCUGAAGUGGCGGUUGUUCGGAGGCGGUAUUUGUAUACCCUGCACUGAAGCUUUGUAGGUGAAGCUUUGCAAGUGAAGCUUUGAAGCUAGAGCUCUGUAAAUGAAGCUUUUAAAGCUAGAGCUCUAUAAAUGAAGCUUUUGAAGCUAGAGCUUUGUAAAUGAAACUUCUGAAGCUAGCGCUUUUGUGAAUGAAGCUUUUGAAGCUAGAGCUCUGUAAAUGAAGCUUUUGAAGCUGAUUGACAUGAGUGAUGGUCAUGAAUGUUUAUGUUGAUUGACAUGAGUGAUGCUCAUGGAUGUUGAUGAAUGAUGGUCAUGAAUGUUUAUGUAUGAUUGACAUGAGUGAUGUUCAUGAAUGUUUAUGUAUGAUUGACAUGAGUGAUGCUUAUGUAUAAUUUUGGAGUACUGGAUGUACUUUUGAUCACCUGAUUGGUGAUAAUAGCGGCAGGCUGCCAAAUAAUUUUGGAGUACUGGGCGUACUUUAGAUCACCUGGUUGAUGAUAAUAGCGACAGGUUGCCGAAUAAUUUUGGGAGUACUGGGCGUACUUUAGAUCACCUGGUUGAUGAUAAUAGCGACAGGUUGCCGAAUAAUUUUGGGAGUACUGGGCGUACUUUUGAUCACUUGGUUGGUGAUAAUAGCGGCAGGUGCCGAAUAAAUUUGGAGCCAUAGGGCCUGGCUCUUUUGGGCAUAUGGGCAUUCGCCCUCCACAUGACAUUGCAGCCCACUAUUUUGGGCUUGCCCUUUUUUUUUAAAAUUUUUUUUAUUAUUACCCUCUGAUGGGGUUUAUAUAGAUGUCUCCGAAAGAUAAGAAAAAUAAAUUAUAUCAUUCAAAAAUAAAUCUCACCCUCUGCUCAAUGGGUUAUGCCCAUAAUUCCCUUUUCUGCAUGCCAUCACCACCGCAAUUAUGUCUGCUUCUUUUUAUCUUCUUUUGCUUUCUGCUUUUUACUUUCUGCUUUUCUUUUGCUUUCGGCCUGGUUGGUGCUAAGACCUUGUAGUGGGAUGGCAAACAGCUUGGCAUCAUUAUGUCUGAAUUCCUUUAUCAUCGUGGUGCCGAACCACUUUCCAGUUGUGUGUUUAAAGGAACCUGUUUUACCUUCACUGCUUUUUGACCAUACUUCCUCCAUCUAUACCCAAUUGAAGUAAUGAUUACUCCCCUGGAGCCGAUACUAGACCGGUUGAGUCAUUCUGGGAGGCAGCGGAAUGUUGACGUCUGCAACGUGCGGACCGAAGCCCAAAUGCGACGUCGUUUGGCCUGCCACCAGAAGAAGAAACAAACCGAGCAAAACAUUGAAACUCACCAGAGAGAUCGCCGGAGUCAGAGCUUAAGAGAGUAAACACCCAUGAUCCAUGUGAAGAGAGUGAGAGAGUGAGAGCAUGAGAGAGUAAACUCAUCCAAAUUAGAGUAAACUCACACAACUCCGGCCACAGAGUCGUACUCUUCCAUACCAACAUUUCCAUUUCCAACACUACCCUCCACGUUCUUCUUCACCCUCCCUGCAAUCACACGGCACACCAACAUUGCCCUCUUGUCACCCUCCUUCGUCGCCACCACCGCUUUAUCAUGAGCUCUGCUGCUUGUCGCAGUUGUCAAAAUACCCAGCUCCGUCAACUCCCCAGAGAACUUGUUGAAGCCGUUUUUUAUAAUGAUGCAAACAUUGCAGUGUGGGAUUAAGUUACUUGGAGAGCUUGGUGGCAAAGGUGGUGUAGUGGAAACGGAUGAGCUCGUUGCCGUCAGCGAUGCAGCGGGGGUGUUUCUUGGAGAGCUUGGUGGCUUUUACUUUGAUGGAGUCUCUAUACUCUUUGAAUUUGGUGAUGGUAUCUUGGGUGUUAUGGACUUUAAGGAUGCGGUCGAUUUUGUAGAUUGGGGUUCUUUUUUCAGCCAGCUGGACUGGAAUAUGAUCUCCACUAUGUUCUUGCUAGUAUCAUCAGGACUCCGAGCUUGUAUGGUGUCUCUACCGUCACAAGGAGAAGAUCAACCUCGCUGGUCACGAAGAGAAGAUCAGCCUCCGCUACUCAAGCUCCGACUCCAGCGAUCUCUCUUGUGAGUUUCACUGUUUUGCUCGGUUUGUUUCUUCUUCUGGUGGCGGGCCAAACGACGUCGCAUUUGGGCUUCGGUCCGUAAAUUGUAGACAUUAACAUUCUGCUGCCUCCCAGAAUGACUCAUCUGGUCUAGUAUCGGCUCCAGGGAGUAAUGAUUGCUUCAAAUGGGUAUAGAUAGAGGAAGUAUGGUAAAAAAGCAGUGAAGGUAAAACAGGUUGCUUUAAACACACAGCUGGAAAGUGGUCCGGCACCACGAUGAUAAAGGAAUUCAGACAUAAUGAUGCUAAGCUGUUUGCCAUCCCACUACAAGGUCCCAGCACCUACCAGACUGAAAGCAAAAGAAAAGCAGAAAGCAAAAGAACAUAAAAAGAAGCAGACAUAAUUGCGGUGGUGAUGGCAUGCAAAAAAGGGAAUUAUAGGCAUAACCCAUUGAGCAGAGGGUCGGAUUUAUUUUUGAAUGAUGUAAUUUAUUUUUCUUAUCUUUCGGAGACAUCUGUAUAAACCCCUUCAGAGAGUAAUAAUAAAAAAUUAAAAAAAAAACGGCAAGCCUAAAAUAGUGGGCUGCAAUGUCAUGUGGAGGGUGAAGACCCAUAUGCCCAAAAGAGCCAGGCCCUAUGGCUCCAAAUUUAUUCGGCACCCUGCCGCUAUUAUCACCAACCAAGUGAGCAAAAGUACGCCCAGUACUCCCAAAAUUAUUCGGCAACCUGCCGUUAUUAUCACUAACCAGGUGAUCAAAAGUACAUCCAAUACUCCAAAAUUAUUUGGCAGCUUACCGUUAUUAUCACUAACCAGGUGAUCAAAAGUACGUCCAGUACUCCAACAUUAUACAUGAGCAUCACUCAUGUCAAUCAUACAUAAACAUUCAUGACCAUCAUUCAUCAACAUCCAUGAGCAUCACUCAUGUCAAUCAACAUAAACAUUCAUGAGCAUCACUUAUGUCAAUCAGCUUCAAAAGCUUCCUUUACAGAGCUCUAUCUUCAAAAGCUUCAUUUACAGAGUUUUAGCUUCAAAAGCUUCAUUUACAGAGCUCUAGCUUCAAAGCUUCACUUGCAAAGCUUUCACCUACAAAGCUUCAGUGCAGGGUAUACAAAUACCGCAUCCGAACAAUCGCCACUUCGGCAUAUACAUGGAUUCUAUUUGAAGUCUCUAGCCAACAGACUUUAUUGACCGAAGACUUGGGGGACUACAUUAUGUACCAUAUAUUGGGCCUCAACUGGGCCUCAUGAAAAAUACUUGGGGGACUUAGCCCAUUAUUUAUGUACUGAGGAACGAGCCCUUAUUCUAUAAAAAGGACUCCCUCAAUUUCAUUAGAGAGCACCUAUUAUUCAUGUACUGAGGAGUGAGCCUUUAUUUUAUAAAAGAGACUCCUUCACCUUCAUUAGAGAGCAUCACCACCAGCUAAGCAACCGCCUCGCCGCGAGCAUCACUCCUAACUCAUCACUUAUGUAUUGAGGAGCGAACCCUUAUUCUAUAAAAUGGACUCCCUCACCAUCAUUAGAGAGCAUCGUCGCCAGCUGAGCAACUGCCUCGCCGCGAGCAUCAACUCUAGCCCAUCAUUUAUGUUUUGAGGAGCAAGCCCUUAUUCUAUAAAAGGGACUCCCUCACCUUCAACGCCAUAAGCCGAGCCAACCAAGGCAACAUAAGCCACAAGCCGAGCAGCCUCGCAACAUGUGCUACUUCUAGUUGAGCAUCAUUUCAGAUUAAGCACCGCCUCAUAUCGAGUAUCAGUCCUAGAUGACGUCCAGUUACUUCGCCCACACAUGGACUGAGUUUUAAGUCUCCAGCCAAAAGACUCUAUUGACUGAAUACUUGGGGGACUACUGUUUAUACCAUACUUAGGGCCUCCGUAUUUAGAUCUCGUAUAAAUACUAGGGGGACUCAAAUGUAAUUAUGUAAUAAAUGAAGGGGCAAAUAUGUAAUAAGUGAGGAGCCCUUAUUCUAUAAAAGGACCCCUCACUCUCCUCAUGAAGGGAGGCCAAAUCUUAGGCCAUACCCUCACCAUCUCAGAGCUCUCAUCCUCACAAAAAAGCUCUCUCUCUCCCUCUUCAACAUCUCGGAGAAAUACAAUAAUCAGUGUGGACGUAGCCCAAACAUUGUGGUGAACCAUGAUACAUCUUGUGUUAUUUACAUUUCUUGCAGAUUCAUGGUCGAAUUUACGUUGUCCCAAGACCUUCGGUUUUGUGCAUCAACAUAUUUGAUGGAUGAAAUAGAAACCUUGAUUAUCAUGUGGGUUGUUAUGUAGCUUGAAUUGAAUAAUUCAUGCUUGUCAAGUCCAACUGUUUGAUUGAGGAAUGUUAUGCCUUUUGGCUUGAGUGAAUAGUGUUAUAUGUCGAGUUAUAAAGACGUUGAACUACGAAUGGCUUGAUCCCUAUUGAGGGUACAUAGGCAAUCUAACGAAGAGGUUAGAUGCAGCCAUAAUGUAUACGCAAAAUUAUUAUGCAUCUAGAUCUUGAAUUAUAUUUUGUACAUAUCCAAAAAGGCGGGAUACGUUGAGUUACGAGCAUUUAGUGACGUCACGUGUCGAUCUGAGAUGUAUGUCGGGAUUGGGGCGUGACAAUUUAUCCCAGCCAUCUUUUUCCAGAUUCUGACGGUUGUAGCGGCAACCAGCUGAGAAGAAGAAAAAAAAGAAAAAAAAGGAAAAAAAAAAAAAGGAAGCCUAGAUCCGCGACCCGGAUCUAGCCCAACCUGAUUCUAAAAUGCAUAUGGAAUAUUCUUAGUGUUGACCUUUAAGAAAUUUUCUCGGAAAUCCUCCUAGGCUAAUUUCGACGUCUAGAGUCCAUUUUUGACUUCCAUUUAGGAAAAUUUUGAAGUUUUAACAUAGUUGACCACCGGGCCGUCUUUGUUGACUUUUUAAGUUUGAUCGUUCACUUUUCGUUGACUUUUUACAAAAUUUGCCUGGGACCCCUCUUAGCGUAUUUCGACGCUCUGAUUACUAUCGGAGACUCAGACUUUCUUAGCUUGAAAUGAUGUGACAUCGCAAGUACCUAUGAGUGGGUCUUUUCUUUUAUAUAGUACAUAUAUAUAUAUAUUUGUUAGUUUCCAUUUAUAUAUUUGGUAAAGAAUUUUCUACGUUACGCCUAGAUUAGGGUAACGUAUAUAAAAAUUAACGUAUUGAAGGAAUUCAUGCAAAUAUACUACGUCCUACGAGAUACACAUGUAUGCGUAUUAGUAUGGAUGCUUUAAUGGUAUUUACGGUUUUGAAUAGUAUUCCAUUGACUAGGGUUAUUGAAUUAUCGAUUUACCAUUGCAUGAUCAUAUUUGUGUUAUCUGCUCAUCGUGUGUUGCACUGGUGUUAGUACUUGCCUAGGCUAGGGCCAGUCUUUCACAUGUAUGUUCAAUUCGCACUGUACGCUCACUUUGGAUCCAUUGUAGGUGCCAGUCCUGUCCUCGAUUGCAAUAGGCAAUUAGGACUCGUAUGUGACGUGCUUAGCACCCGUUUUCAUGUGAUUGUAGUACUAGAGCGUAAAUCAUUAUUACACCCAGUCCUAUUCAUGUCAGAAUACCUUUGCAUGAACUCGUGUGUCAACAUAUGUCGAUGAGCACUCGAUGUGAUAUGUUUAUUUCUGCAAGAUAUUGUGAUUACUAGAAGUUAUGUACCUAUUUACGAAUUUUGUGACGUAUUGAAUUCUUGAGAUAUUGCAAACUACUGUAAGUAUUUUCAUACUAUACGUAGUAUGUAUAUUUUGGAAACUAUACUUGCUUUACGGUGAGGGGUUAUAAUGUUUUCAAAAAGCUUUUUAUAAAACUUUAUUUUUAAGCCCACUCAUCCUUGUUUUUCGUCCCUCCAGGAUUUAGUGGCAAUGUUCGUGUCGACGAGGAUUUCUGGCAAACGUUGAUAUCGGAGACUACUUCCGAUGGUAUAAUUCUCAAUCUACUAUACUGUACUUUACUUAUGCUCUUAUAUCACGUGUGAAAUGAGUUCAUUCACGCUCACUAGCGCACUCUUAUACUUAGGCACUUCUAGAUUUAAAUUUACUCACAUUUUUCACAUCACUACUCAUUAAUGAAAUCUUUAUUUUCCUAAAAGAUUAUUGCCUCAUAUGAGAAAGUCCCUAUAAUAUAAACCCUAAAUUUGAAGUUUACAUAAUUUUAUGUGAUAAUUUCAUUGGAAGCUAAUUCUUUUAGUUAAUUUAACUUGAUUUUAUUGUAAAAUAUUUUUUGUGUAAUAUUAUUACCCAAAAAGGUUCAAAAUUCUCAAAGCCAAAUUUUAUUCCAAUGGAGUUUUAAUGAAAAGUCCGCGGUACUGUUCACUUUAACGAAAAACCACAUUUUUACACUAAAAAUUCAAACUUAGUACUAUUCAUUUUACCUUUUAUUUUGUCCUUAUCAUUAAAACUCAAAGUUUUCGAGCCAUUUUCAUUAGUUUUCCUUUUAUUUGGGAGUUUUAACGAAAAGUCCGCGGACCCGGCUUUGCAACCCGGACCCAGCUUCUCUGCUCUCCCAGUUUCCAUACACUCUCAUCCCCUCCUAUUUUGUGCGAUCACGAUUAAGCACGUUAACAUUUUAUAUUGAUUUUUUUAUAGACAUAAUAAGACAAAAAACGAUAGUGAUAUAAAAUAUUGACGUGACUUAACAUUUGACAAAAAUUGAAGAUAAUUUUGUUUUUUUGACUAAAUGAUCAAAAUAAUUGGUGGCGAAUAAAAUCAGAAAUCUCACUUUGAAGAAACGAAACUUCCGACGUGGUGGGCUGCGACUUUUGACUGAUUGAGAGUCCUCCAUCCGCAGCUCCUCCGUCUUCCUCCCAAGCCUUUUACCUUUUCUUUCUUUCUUCUCCAAAACUAGCAAUCUGAGAUUUGAACCUCUCUCUCUAAGAAGCAGCGGCAUGCUUUUCCAAACGUAAUCUGCAAUUUAAUCAAACAGCCACCGAAUUUUCUGGAAUCCUGUCAACGCAGAGAUGCUUCGGAUUUUGAUCGGUCAACGCCAGCUGCUUACCUGAGCUCCAAAAGAUCCAACAGUGAUGACGUCCUCCACCUCUGUUUCUGUUUGGCUGAUUCUGCUGUUUGGCUUCUUUCACCUCUACAAGCUUGCUGCCAAUGUCGUCUCUGUGUGUUAUUGAAUUUGGGAGUGUUUGGUUGUGGGAACCGGAAUGAACUAAUGAAUGAAUGAAUGAAUGACUGAAUGACUGGAAACAUUCCCGAAGAGCUUGGGGGUUUGUCAGACUUGGUGAGCUCGGAUCUUUACUUGGCAACCUUGCAAAACUGCGUUUCCUAUAUGAACCCGCAUCCUUUUGUUAGAUAAAAUCUAUCGUCUUUCUUUUUUAUUCGAUAUGCUAAUCUGCUGUUUUUAAUUGUUCCAUUGGAGUGACUUUCUUCCUUAAAGUCCUUGUGCCGGAUGCAUAUAAUUUAUAGUAUGAUCCCUGGUUUCAAGAUUCACAAGAAGGGAACAUCCAGUCAUUGCAAGUCCUGUGAAUUUCAUACACUUUCAUCUCAGUAAGAGGGAGGAGAGAGUGAAAAGUUACUAAUUUCUCUACCAUCGGAGAAUGCAAAUAACAUAUAGUUUUGCCAUGGAAUGCAGGGAUCUUUCAAAUAACAAUCUGACAGGGAAUAUUCCAGUUAAUGGAUUCUUUUCACUUUUUACUCCCAUCAGGUUUGUUGAAGCAACUUUACUCUUUUUCUUUAACUUUAGGGACAAAAAUAACAAUCUGACAGGGGAUACACUUUCAUCUCAGUAAGAGGGAGGAGAGGGUAAUAUAGCUUGAUCAAGUUGGUGUUGUAGUUGUUGUAUGGGAUGCAGCUCAAAAACUUUUCUUUGCGCGACCUACAAGUUGCAACGGAUACCUAUAGCGACAAAAAUAUUAUUGGUAGAGGUGGAUUUGGUAAGGUUUAUAGAGGACGCUUAGCUGAUGGAACUCUGGUUGCUGUAAAAAGACUUACACAGGAGAGAACCCAAGACGGGGAACUACAGUUCCAAACAGAAGUUGAAAUGAUUAGAAUGGCUGUCCACCACCGCAAUCUGCUUUGUCUGCAUGGUUUUUGCAUGACACCAACAGAAAGGCUGCUUGUAUAUCCUUAUAUGGCUAAUGGAAGUGUGGCAUCUUGUUUAAGAGGUACUCAUCUAAAUUGUUUGCUGCGUUGAUGAAUCUUUUUGUUUUCACGACGUUAAAUUUUUUUUCGAUCACAUUGAUAUAAUGAAUUUAAAAACCUGACCAAUUUGGCUUGGAGUAUCAGCACUAAUUUUUUUAAUGUUUUUUUUCCUUCAAUUUUAAGUUACCUUCUCGAUGCUGAUUUUAUUUCUGUUUAAUUUGAAAAGGAUGACAAGAAGACCCUUUUUUUGGGUAGGACGGGUGGUAUGAUAUGUGUUAGACCACAUUACCUAUUGCUUGUAAUUUGAAAUUCUCCUCUCAUAAGUAUGUGGAUAUAUUAUUGUAGGUCGUCCGGAAGGACAACCUGCACUUGAUUGGCCAAUAAGACAACGCAUUGCAUUGGGAUCUGCAAGAGGCCUUGCUUAUUUACAUGAUCACUGUGAUCCAAAAAUUAUUCACCGUGAUGUGAAAGCAGCAAACAUAUUGUUGGAUGAGGAAUUCGAAGCAGUUGUUGGAGACUUUGGGUUGGCUAAACUCAUGGACUACAAGGAUACAUAUGUUACCACACAUGUAUGUAGCACAUUUGGUCAUAUGGCACCGGAGCACUUUUCAACUGGAGUGUCUUCCGAGAAAACUGAUGUUUUUGGAUACGGAGUCAUGCUUCUUGAACUCAUCACUGGGCAGAGGGCUUUCAAUCCUCAGCUUGCGAGUGAUGAUGAUGUCAUGUUAGUUGAUUGGGUAUGCAUUUACGUCUUUCUGUUUGUGUAUGUAGCUAGUUUAUUGUUAUAUGAUUAUUUCCCAACAACAUUUGCAUUUCCUUAGUAAUUAGCUUUUAGAAAAUAAGUUUGGUUUAAUUAGCUUUUAUUAGUUAGAGUUAUGAUUAGCUGUGUAGAUUUUUUUAUCUUUAUUUAUAACAAUCCAAGGUUUAAACUGUCAGAGAUUAAUUAUUGCAUUUCCUUAGUAAUUGUUACUAUUGUUGUUGCUUCUUUUGCCAAUGUAUUGGCAUUUUGUGAUUUCUUGAAGAAUUUGGCAUAUGUUUUGUGUCGAUCCUAAUUUCCUCAUCAUCUCCUUAUUCUUGCUAUCUUGGCCUCUCGCUUUUUCCUAUUCUCUCUAUUGCAUCUUUGUCUUCUCUUUGCAUGAUAUCAAUAUUUGAAUGACGAUACAUUUUUGUAAGCAGUUUGAUUUUCUGUAGAAAAAAGUUUGAACAUUACAACACAUUUUUGUUCUCCUAGAUUCCCGCACCUUUUGUUUCAAAUUGUCGAACCACCCGACAAUUUCUGUUUUAUUUUUCCUAAAAAAAUUAGGUCAAAUGACUACUGAAAGAUCGGAGGUUGGAAAGACUUGUUGAUGCUGAUCUAAAUGGAAAUUAUAUUGACGAUCAAGUGGAGCAGCUGAUCCAAGUAGCUCUACUGUGCACACAAGGCUCCCCAGGGGAACGGCCCAAGAUGUCAGAGGUUGUCCAAAUGCUUGAAGGCGAAGGCGAAGGUUUGGCUGAAAGAUGGGAGGAGUGGCAAAACAAGGAGAUGAUCCGCCAAGAUUUCAACACUAUUCAUCAUCCAAGUACUUGGAUCAUAGACUCACCUUCUCCUAAUUUUGUGUUGUACUAUUUCUGUGAGUUUGAAGAAAUGGAUAAAAAGAAAGGAAAACCAAUGAAAAAGGCUUGAAAACUUUGAGUUUUAAUGAUAAGGACAAAAUAAAGGGUAAAGUGAAUAGUACCAGGAUUGACUUUUUAGUGUAAAAAUGUGGUUUUUCAUUAAAGUGAACAGUACCGGAUGCUUUUCGUUAAAGUUCCCUAAAAAGAAUGACAUGUGAUAGAGAGUUCAUCAUAUAGCUUCUGACUUUAAGGAUUUUUCAUUUAGUUCUAGUUCAUGUUGCGCAAAAAAUAUUAGGUAACACUGCUACUGGGGCUAUUGCAGGAGGGGUUGCUGUUGGUGCUGCUUUACCGUUUGCUGCACCUGCAAUUACACUUGCUUAUUGGCGACGGAGAAAACCACAGGAUCAUUUCUUUGAUGUACCUGGUUAGUGAACUAUAGGAGUAAUAUAGCUUGAUAAAGGUGGUGUUGUAGUAUGGGAUGGAGGUUUCACUAAUCUACUGUCUUUGCAGCUGAGGAGGAUCCAGAAGUUCUUUUAGGACAGCUCAAAAGGUUUUCUUUGCGCGAACUACAAGUUGCAACGGAUACCUUUAGUAACAAAAAUAUUCUUGGUAGAGGUGGAUUUGGUAAGGUUUAUAAAGGACGCUUAGCUGAUGGAACUCUGGUUGCUGUAAAAAGACUUAAAGAGGAGAGAACCCAACGUGGGGAGCUACAGUUUCAAACAGAGGUUGAAAUGAUUAGCAUGGCUGUCCACCGCAAUCUGCUUCGUCUGCGUGGUUUUUGCAUUACACGAACAGAAAGGCUGCUUGUAUAUCCUUAUAUGGCUAAUGGAAGUUUGGCAUCAUGUUUACGAGGUACUCUUCUAAAUUGUUUGCUGCGUUGAUAAAUCUUCUUGUUUUCACGAAAUUAAAAAAUGGGUAAAUUACAUUUUACACCCUCAGGUUUGAGUGUAAUUGUAACCUCAUACAAUAUUUUUAAAACAUUUCAAUUUUAUACAUUUCCUUAUCAUUUCUAGCAAUUUCAUACAUCUGUUAGUCAAACCGUGAGUUUGACUGUUAAGGAAUGACAUGGCAAAUGUGAGGUCCACAUUUUUAUUGACGGGGAUGCCAACUAUGAUUCACGUGGAAUAAAAACAAAUAAAAAAGAUUAAUAAAUAGAAAAUUAAAUUUUUUUAUAAUUAAAAACUAAAAAAAUAGAAAAGAUAAAAAAAAUGGUGUUGUUCAUCCCUUUCCUGCUCUCACCCCGUCCCCGCAUUCUUCAUUUCCCCCCGCCCACCAUCGCCACCUUCCCUUUCCUCAGCCACUGCAAUGAAUAGACCACAUUACCUGUUGCUUGUAAUUUGAAAUUCUCCUCUCAUAAGUAUGUGGAUAUAUUAUUGUAGAUCGUCCAGAAGGACAACCUGCACUUGAUUGGCGAAUAAGACAACGCAUUGCAUUGGAAUCUGCAAGAGGCCUUGCUUAUUUACAUGAUCACUGUGAUCCAAAAAUUAUUCACCGUGAUGUGAAAGCAGCAAACAUAUUGUUGGAUGAGGAAUUCAAAGCAGUUGUUGGAGACUUUGGGUUGGCUAUACUCAUGGACUACAGGGAUACACAUGUUACCACAGCUGUACGUGGCACAAUUGGUCAUAUAGCACCAGAGUACCUUUCAACUGGAAAAUGUUCCGAGAAAACUGAUGCUUUUGCAUACGGAGUCAUGC
Molecule: long non-coding RNA, 25472 nt
Filed under: Malus domestica (apple)
Lineage: Eukaryota; Viridiplantae; Streptophyta; Magnoliopsida; Rosales; Rosaceae
Description: long non-coding RNA (MDOM_LNC015880)
Source: RNAcentral